Molecule: non-coding RNA, 1789 nt
Organism: Chelonoidis abingdonii (Abingdon island giant tortoise)
Lineage: Eukaryota; Metazoa; Chordata; Testudines; Testudinidae
Source: RefSeq, a predicted model, not a curated record
CGGGAGGCUGUGCGAAAGAACUACGAGUCCCAUCGUGCCCCGCGCUCCGCAGGGCUGGAGAUCGGGCGGGCGGACUGCGGACACCGGGGUGAGUGAGUGCAUCGGCAGCCCCCCCGCUUCGGCCCCGCCGCGUCCCCCUGUUGCGGGGAGCGGAGCCAUGGGCGGGGAGGACGAGAUCGUGCGCAUCGCCAAGCGGCUGGACAAGAUGGUGUCCAAGAAAAGCGCGGAUGGUGCGAUGGAUUUGCUGAAGGAACUGAAAAGUAUGCCUAUCACUCUGGACCUGUUACAGUCCACCCGGAUUGGGAUGUCGGUGAAUGCGUUGAGGAAGCAGAGCACUGACGAGGAAGUGAUAUCGCUUGCCAAAUCACUUAUCAAGUCCUGGAAAAAGCUUCUAGAUGCUUCAGAGGACAAAAAUGAGGAGAAGAAGAGGAAUUCAUCCUUGUCGGCAUCCUCCUCAAAAGAGAGCGGUGACUCAAGAGACCAAAGCUCCAACAAAAGGCAGGACCCACCGAAGACUCCAACCACACCGAAAAUCACCACCUUUCCGCCGGUGCCCGUCACCUGCGACGCUGUCCGCAACAAAUGCAGAGAAAUGCUGACUUCUGCUCUGCAGACUGACAAUGAUUACAUUGCCAUUGGUGCUGACUGUGAGCACCUCUCUGCCCAAAUUGAAGAAUAUAUCUACCAAGACGUCAAGAACACCGACAUGAAGUACAAAAACCGCGUGAGGAGCCGUAUCUCCAACCUGAAGGACUCCAAAAACCCUGAGCUGAGAAAGAACGUGUUGUGUGGAGCAAUCACCCCGGAGCAGAUUGCAGUGAUGACCUCAGAGGAAAUGGCCAGUAACGAGCUGAAGGAGAUUAGGAAGGCCAUGACGAAGGAAGCGAUCCGGGAGCACCAGAUCGCUAGGACGGGAGGGACCCAGACCGACCUCUUCACCUGUGGGAAGUGCAAGAAGAAGAACUGCACUUACACUCAGGUGCAGACCCGCAGCUCCGAUGAGCCCAUGACCACCUUCGUCGUGUGUAACGAGUGUGGGAACCGCUGGAAGUUCUGUUGAGAUAUCUGUGAGCCCAGCGGCGGCAGCCGAACCUGGAUGGACCACAACCUAUAUUCUCUGACUUCUCCAGCCAUUGUGUACUGUAUCCCAACACUUUGCAUUUCCUGCCCAAAUGUCAUGUGGACCCAGUGGAUGAGCACUGCCUGAGAUACCAUCCAGCCAGAAGCCACACCACUUACCAUAGAUCUAGUUAGAUACCCUGAAAUUUGGUCUUCCUUCUCUGUUGGGCAGUAAGGUUGUGUGUUAGCCCACUGUGCCAUCAGAAAAGGGGUCGGCCUUCAAACCUCAGCUGUCCGAAUCCUGGCUGUGAAAAAUGCCCUGGCAGUUUUACUGACACUGCAGUUUUCCUUGGGAUGCUUCCUAGUCCUAAACAUACGACAUUUUGUUUUUAAUCAGCUCAUGAACAAAAAACCUGAGCCAAAUCUUGCACCCAUGACAUAGGCCACAUUCCAGCUGAGUUAGUGGGAGUUUUGCUCAGAUAUCAAGUGCAGGACAUGGCUCAUUGACUUUAUGUAGUGGUGGGGGCAGUGCAAGGCCUCGAUUCUGAUCUCAGGUACUGCUGGAAGUCAGUAGAGUUACUCUGAAUUUACAGCAGCAUAAUUGAGAACAGUGCUUGCGUUAGUACAGAUCUAGGGCUUCUGUUUUUGAGGGGGUUGUUAAUUUCAUUGGGGAGGGUUAUUUUUAGCCAUUUUUUAAUUUUAUGGAGGUGUCCAAAAAUUGGGGUUUUGG